This 248-nucleotide long non-coding RNA is filed under the name Lathyrus oleraceus (garden pea). RNAcentral's name for it is "Pisum sativum (pea) long non-coding RNA (PSAT_LNC019253)". The record is from RNAcentral. Lineage: Eukaryota; Viridiplantae; Streptophyta; Magnoliopsida; Fabales; Fabaceae.
GAAGAUUCAGUUCGACAACUUUGAGCUGAAGAUAGAUGAAGAUUUAAGGGUUAUGUGGAACAAAUUUCACCAUUACGAAACAAAAGGUCUAAUUCUGUUCGAGCUAGAUGCAAAUAUUGUGAGAUUGACCAAAGAUAUUCUGAGAUGUUGCAACAUUUUGCUGAAAUAUAUUGUUAAAUUUACGUUAUGUAUUUAUGUUACGAUUAUCUAUGUAAUGUUACAUAUUUUGAUAUUAAUUUAUCUUUUUC